This is a small nuclear RNA of Jaculus jaculus (lesser Egyptian jerboa), 104 nucleotides long. The record is from Ensembl. Lineage: Eukaryota; Metazoa; Chordata; Mammalia; Rodentia; Dipodidae.
GUGCUCACUUCGGCAGCACAUAUACUAAAACUGAAACAAUGUGGGGAUUAGCACAGCCCCUGCACAAGUAUACCAUGAAAAUUUGUGAAGCAUUCCAUAUUUUA